AUUGAACGCUGGCGGCAUGCCUAACACAUGCAAGUCGAACGGCAGCACGACCUAGCUUGCUAGGUUGGUGGCGAGUGGCGCACGGGUGAGUAAUGCGUAGGAAUAUACCUUAAAGUGGGGGACAACCUGGGGAAACUCAGGCUAAUACCGCAUGAGCUCUAAGGAGGAAAGCUGGGGACCUUUCGGUGCCUGGCGCUUUAAGAAUAGCUUACGUCCGAUUAGUUAGUUGGUGGGGUAAAGGCUUACCAAGACGAUGAUCGGUAGCUGGUCUGAGAGGAUGAUCAGCCACACUGGGAAUGAGGCACGGCCCAGACUCCUACGGGAGGCAGCAGUGGGGAAUAUUGGACAAUGGGGGAAACCCUGAUCCAGCGAUGCCGCGUGUGUGAAGAAGGCCUGCGGGUUGUAAAGCACUUUCGGUGGGGAGGAGGACUUAUAGGUUAAGAGCUAAUGAGUUGGACGUUACCCACAUAAGAAGCACCGGCUAACUCCGUGCCAGCCGCCGCCGUAA
RNAcentral lists this ribosomal RNA (508 nucleotides) under uncultured bacterium. Its description in RNAcentral is "partial 16S ribosomal RNA". It matches the Rfam family "Bacterial small subunit ribosomal RNA", at positions 30 to 523 of the family's 1533-position model. The record is from RNAcentral.